CUCUUCCGGUUACCUUUUCCCAGCGCCAGAGGCGCCUAGGGUUGGGGUCCUCGCUCAGGCACAGAGACCCGACACCGAGCGGCGGCUUCCCCGGGAUCGAGGGACGCGCACGCCAGAGGAGACGAAAGGAACCCGGGUCGGACCAGAUCGGAACCACUGACCAUUGCCCAUGGCGGCCCUAGUGAGUGUGGAUUUGGCGGGGUUCGGGGGUUCCGACGGCGACCUCGGCGACCCCUCACUCACCGCUUCCUCUUUCCGCAGGGCCCUAGCAGCCAGAAUGUCACUGAAUACGUCGUUCGAGUUCCUAAGUAAGUCCCCAGCCCCAUCUCCCACUCCUCUCCACCCCCCAAAAAUGAAAACCUUCACGAUCUUCUUAGCCAGCCAUUUCUGGCCCUGUCUGUGGUUCUCCCUCCAGACCGGGAGAGACUUGGAGGGCAGGGCUGGGAUUAAGCUGAGGCUUCUCUGGGGACAACACUGCUUUUUUGAACGAAUGAAUGAAUGAGUGCAUUAAUACACGGUGAUCCAGCCCCCUGGCCUAACCUUCGAGGAGUAUAUGGUCCCAUGAUGCCCAGGCCAGCUGUAAGGACAUAUUCCUCGUCCUGUUUCAAAGUGGUCAGGCUGUCUUUCCUUUCCAGGCCUUUGUACAUCCUGUUCCUCUGCCAUGAGUGCCUCCCCUCAACCCCUAAACUGUGACUCUGCUGGGUGAAUUCUUGAUGAUUCUGCAAAACUCAACUCCAGUAUCUUCCUCCUCCAGGAAAUACUCCCUGCCUGUCCUCCCUCCUCCCCAAGGCUGAGUUCACAAUAAUCUCCACAUCUUGGGUUCCCCCAAAUCUUCGUCCCUCCAUCUGCUCUUCUUCUGCCUGGGGUCAGGAGAGGAUGGGUCUAGCUUCUCUGGCAGACUGGGAAUCCUUGGAGUCUUCCGUAUCCAGUGUUGCCAGGCAAAACAGGCUGAAUGAAGCUGGGUGGGUUUGUUGAGUGAAUUGAAUUGAAUUAAUGAUUCAAUUGAAUGGAAUGAUUGAAUUGAAUUAAUGGUUCAAUUGAAUUGAGUGAUUGAAUUAAAGUAAUGAUUUGAUUGAAUUAACGAUCCAGUUGGGUGGUUGAUUGAAUUAAUGGUUCAAUAGCAUUGACUGAUUAAAUUAAUGAUUGAAUUGCUGUAUUGGAUUGACACUACCUCUUCUCAUCCACUCCAGGAAUACAACCAAAAAAUAUAACAUCAUGGCUUUUAAUGCAGCCGACAAAGUCAACUUUGCUACGUGGAAUCAGGUAAGUCUCUGAGUCCUGGGGGUCAGGGGCUGGGGUGGUGAGAGAACUUGACCCUGACCUUGGUGGUUGUGAUAGUUGCUUAACUGUCAUAGUCACUAAGUCUUAAUUUUCUCACUUUUCUCCAAGUGAAGAAAAGAUAGAUGACAAAGGGUUGGGUGCAGUAGUUCACACCUGUAAUCCCAGCACUUUGGGAGGCUGAGGCAGGAAGCUUGCUUAAGGCCAGGAGUUUGAGACCAGCCUGGGCAAUACAAUAGCAAGACCCCAACUCUACAAAAAAAUUAAAAAGUUAGUUGGGGCUGAUAGCGUGGGUCUGUAGUCCUACAUAGGAGGCUGAGGUAGGAGGAUCGCUUGAGCCCAGGGGUUCAAGGCUGCAGUGAGCUAUGAUUGUACGACUGCACUCCAGCCUGGAUAACAGAGCAAGACCCUGCCUCAAAAAAAAAAAAAAAAAAAAAAAAAAAAAAACGGAAAUGGCAAAGGCCCAGGCCUAGCUCCUGGGUGUCCCUGUAAGUUAGGUUUGGUAGGCCCACCAGAGGCCUCUCCUUAAAGGAGAACAUUUAGAAGCUGUGCCCACUGUUGGACAUUUUUGGCCAUGGUUUAUCUGGGCAAGGGAGGGGACUGGGCUGGGGGCUUUCCCAGAGCCCCUGCCAUCAGAGGCUCUAGAAAGGACUUUGGGAGCCAUUAAAGCAUCUUCAAUUGGGAAGUUGUAGUGUGUGUGAUCUGGCUGCUAUGGGGAGACAAACUGUGGGUUUGAGGGCAAAUAAACGGAGACCAAGGUAGAAGCAACUGGACUGGUCUAGGUGAGUCCUGGCAGGGCACUGGAGGCAGUGGAGGUUAUGAGAUGUGGCUGAUUCUAGAGUGUUUUGGAAAUGGUAUAUAUGGACCUUAAAUCAAGAGCUUAAGGGUAAUUCGGAUCACAUUAGCCAUGUAGGUCACGAUAAAUUGUUAAUUUGUAGAGAUUUUGGUGCCUUAAUGUCAGCAAGUGUUGCACAAUGAGUUUCUUUUUAUUUAUUUUAUUUUAUUUUUUUGUGAUGGAGUCUCUUGUCAUCCAGGCUGGAGUGCAGUGGCGCGACCUGGGCUCACUGCAACCUCCACCUCCCAGGUUCAAGCCAUUCUCCUGCCUCAGCCUCCCAAGUAGCUGGGAUUACAGGCGCCCACCACCACGCCUAGCUAAUUUUUGUAUUUUUAGUAGAGACGAAGUUUCGCCAUGUUGGUCAGGCUGGUCUUGAACUCCUGACCUCAAGUGAUCCACCCGCCUCAGCCUUCCACCAUGCCCAGCCUUUUUAUUUUUAGGAAAUAGAUAUAGGAUCUCACUAUGUUGCCCAGGCUGGUCUUUUUUUUUUUUUUUUUUUUUUUUGGGGACUGAGUCUUGCUUUGUCGCCCAGACUGGAGUGCAGCGCCAGGAUCUCGGCUCACUGCAAGCUCCGCCUCCCGGGUUCACGCCAUUCUCCUGCCUCAGCCUCCCAAGUAGCUGGGAUUAUAGGCGCCUGCCAUCAUGCCCGGCUUAUUUUUUGUAUUUUUAGUAGAGACGGGGUUUCACCGUGUUAGCCAGGAUGGUCUCAAUCUCCUGACCUCGUGAUCCACCUGCCUUGGCCUCCCGAAGUGCUGCAGGUCACACAGCCUGAUCCACUGCAGGGCAGCAGCUCCAGGCAGGGCACCCGAGGAGGGUUUCUCUAGCAGUGACAUCGGCCUCAGAGGUGGGGCGGGUGCAGUUAAGGGCUGUGGAGGGACACAGUGCAUGAGGCCAGUGCAGAGUGACUGUGGGCAGGGGGACGAGGCUGGGGGCCCAGAGCACUUGGUCUUGGAUGUAUGGCUUUGGAUGAGACCGUAGGGCCACCACCACCCUAGGGUGCUUGCAGAUGGUGGGGAGGGCACUCUGGACGCAUCUACAAAUGGCAUUUGCACAGGUCACAGAUGAGCAGAUGCUCAAAGAGUCGAUGGCUCCCAAAGG
Molecule: long non-coding RNA, 3211 nt
Filed under: Homo sapiens (human)
Lineage: Eukaryota; Metazoa; Chordata; Mammalia; Primates; Hominidae
Description: HSALNT0395927
Rfam family: mir-6790 microRNA precursor family (bases 182-244)
Source: RNAcentral